Molecule: ribosomal RNA, 165 nt
Filed under: Manilkara pleeana
Lineage: Eukaryota; Viridiplantae; Streptophyta; Magnoliopsida; Ericales; Sapotaceae
Description: 5.8S ribosomal RNA
Rfam family: 5.8S ribosomal RNA
About the family: 5.8S ribosomal RNA (5.8S rRNA) is a component of the large subunit of the eukaryotic ribosome. It is transcribed by RNA polymerase I as part of the 45S precursor that also contains 18S and 28S rRNA. Functionally, it is thought that 5.8S rRNA may be involved in ribosome translocation.
Source: RNAcentral
AUAACGACUCUCGGCAACGGAUAUCUCGGCUCUCGCAUCGAUGAAGAACGUAGCGAAAUGCGAUACUUGGUGUGAAUUGCAGAAUCCCGUGAACCAUCGAGUCUUUGAACGCAAGUUGCGCCCAAAGCCAUUAGGCUGAGGGCACGCCUGCCUGGGCGUCUCGCA